GCGUUGUUUCGGCACGAUUGUUCCUUGGCGGGUUUCUUUGCGUUGCUCGCGUACCGCCAGUAUCUCGACUUUUGUACUGACUUUUGGUUUGCUCUGGAGAAAAAUGCGAGACAAUUUUCGGUGCUUUUUGACUGUUUGGAACCUUUUUAAUAAUUACGUUGAAACGUUGUUGAUUCUUAUUAAAUAUUGUUUUGUUGAAUCUGAGGACGAACAAAAACAAAAACAAAUCCCAAUCAAAGUCAAGGAAACCAACAUAUGGAAAGGCAACUCUAGGACAAACAAACAAAAACAAAAGAAAAACAACAAAUCGCGAAAA
Rhagoletis pomonella (apple maggot) is the source of this 316-nucleotide long non-coding RNA. RefSeq lists it as uncharacterized. NCBI's taxonomy places the organism in Eukaryota, Metazoa, Arthropoda, Insecta, Diptera, Tephritidae. The transcript is spliced from 2 exons. The record is from RefSeq and is a predicted model, not a curated record.